This is a long non-coding RNA of Gasterosteus aculeatus aculeatus (three-spined stickleback), 4449 nucleotides long. The record is from Ensembl. NCBI's taxonomy places the organism in Eukaryota, Metazoa, Chordata, Actinopteri, Perciformes, Gasterosteidae.
ACACCCGCAACGGCACCCUGUCCGACGUCUACACCCGCAACGGCACCCUGGGCGACGAUGGCAGCAAUGGUACUUUGGCUGACGUCUACGCGGGCAACGGCACCCUGGGCGACGACGGCAACGAGACUUUGGCUGACGUCUACGCGGGCAACGGCACCCUGGGCGACGACGGCAGCAAUGGAACUUUGGCAGAUGCCGACACGGGCAACGGCACCCUGGGUGACGACGGCAGCAAUGGAACUUUGGCUGACGGCUACACGGGCAACGGCACCCUGGGCGACGACGGCAACGUGACUUUUGCUGACGUCUACACUGGCAACGGCACCCUGGCCGACGUCGAGACGGGCAACGGAACUUUGGCAGAUGGCAACGACACCCUGGGCGACGACGGAAACGUGACUUUGGCUGACGGCUACACGGGCAACGGCACCCUGGGCGACGACGGCAGCAAUGGAACUUUGGCUGAUGGCUACACGGGCAACGGCACCCUGGGCGACGACGGCAACGUGACUUUUGCUGACGUCUACACUGGCAACGGUACCCUGGCCGACGUCGAGACGGGCAACGGAACUUUGGCAGAUGGCAACGGCACCCUGGGCGACGACGGCAGCAAUGGAACUUUGGCUGACGGCUACACGGGCAACGGCAACCUGGGCGACGUCGACACGGGCAACGGAACUUUGGCAGAUGGCAACGGCACCCUGUCCGACGUCUACACCCGCAACGGCACCCUGGGCGACGAUGGCAGCAAUGGUACUUUGGCAGAUGGCUACGCAGGCAACGGCACCCUGGGCGACGACUGCAACGAGACUUUGGCUGACGUCUACGCGGGCAACGGCACCCUGGGCGACGACACCCGCAACGGCACCCUGGACGACGGCAGCAAUGGAACUUUGGCAGAUGCCGACGCAGGCAACGGCACCCUGAGCGACGACGGCAACGUGACCCUAGCUGACGUCUACACGGGCAACGGAACUUUGGCUGACGGCUACACGGGCAACGGCACCCUGGGCGACGACUGCAACGUGACUUUUGCCGACGUCUACACUGGCAACGGCACCCUGGCCGACGUCGAGACGGGCAACGGAACUUUGGCAGAUGGCAACGGCACCCUGGGCGACGACGGCAGCAAUGGAACUUUGGCUGACGGCUACACGGGCAACGGCACCCUGGGCGACGACGGCAACGUGACUUUUGCCGACGUCUACACUGGCAACGGCACCCUGGCCGACGUCGAGACGGGCAACGGAACUUUGGCAGAUGGCAACGGCACCCUGGCCGACGUCGACACGGGCAACGGAACUUUGGCAGAUGGCAACGACACCCUGUCCGACGUCUACACCCGCAACGGCACCCUGGGCGACGAUGGCAGCAAUGGUACUUUGGCUGACGUCUACGCGGGCAACGGCACCCUGGCCGACGUCGACACGGGCAACGGAACUUUGGCAGAUGGCAACGACACCCUGUCCGACGUCUACACCCGCAACGGCACCCUGUCCGACGUCUACACCCGCAACGGCACCCUGGGCGACGAUGGCAGCAAUGGUACUUUGGCUGACGUCUACGCGGGCAACGGCACCCUGGGCGACGACGGCAACGAGACUUUGGCUGACGUCUACGCGGGCAACGGCACCCUGGGCGACGACGGCAGCAAUGGAACUUUGGCAGAUGCCGACGCAGGCAACGGCACCCUGAGCGACGACGGCAACGUGACCCUAGCUGACUACACGGGCAACGGAACUUUGGCUGACGGCUACACGGGCAACGGCACCCUGGGCGACGACGGCAGCAAUGGAACUUUGGCUGACGGCUACACGGGCAACGGCACCCUGGGCGACGACUGCAACGUGACUUUGGCUGACGUCUACACUGGCAACGGCACCCUGGCCGACGUCGACACGGGCAACGGAACUUUGGCAGAUGGCAACGACACCCUGUCCGACGUCUACACCCGCAACGGCACCCUGGGCGACGAUGGCAGCAAUGGUACUUUGGCUGGCGUCUACGCGGGCAACGGCACCCUGGGCGACGACGGCAGCAAUGGAACUUUGGCAGAUGCCGACGCAGGCAACGGCACCCUGAGCGACGACGGCAACGUGACCCUAGCUGACGUCUACACGGGAAACGGAACUUUGGCUGACGGCUACACGGGCAACGGCACCCUGGGCGACGACGGCAACGUGACUUUUGCUGACGUCUACACUGGCAACGGCACCCUGGCCGACGUCGAGACGGGCAACGGAACUUUGGCAGAUGGCAACGACACCCUGGGCGACGACGGAAACGUGACUUUGGCUGACGGCUACACGGGCAACGGCACCCUGGGCGACGACGGCAGCAAUGGAACUUUGGCUGAUGGCUACACGGGCAACGGCACCCUGGGCGACGACGGCAACGUGACUUUUGCUGACGUCUACACUGGCAACGGCACCCUGGCCGACGUCGAGACGGGCAACGGCACCCUGGGCGACGAUGGCAGCAAUGGUACUUUGGCUGACGUCUACGCGGGCAACGGCACCCUGGCCGACGUCGACACGGGCAACGGAACUUUGGCAGAUGGCAACGGCACCCUGUCCGACGUCUACACCCGCAACGGCACCCUGUCCGACGUCUACACCCGCAACGGCACCCUGGGCGACGAUGGCAGCAAUGGUACUUUGGCUGACGUCUACGCGGGCAACGGCACCCUGGGCGACGACGGCAACGAGACUUUGGCUGACGUCUACGCGGGCAACGGCACCCUGGGCGACGACGGCAGCAAUGGAACUUUGGCAGAUGCCGACGCAGGCAACGGCACCCUGAGCGACGACGGCAACGUGACCCUAGCUGACUACACGGGCAACGGAACUUUGGCUGACGGCUACACGGGCAACGGCACCCUGGGCGACGACGGCAGCAAUGGAACUUUGGCUGACGGCUACACGGGCAACGGCACCCUGGGCGACGACUGCAACGUGACUUUGGCUGACGUCUACACUGGCAACGGCACCCUGGCCGACGUCGACACGGGCAACGGAACUUUGGCAGAUGGCAACGACACCCUGUCCGACGUCUACACCCGCAACGGCACCCUGGGCGACGAUGGCAGCAAUGGUACUUUGGCUGGCGUCUACGCGGGCAACGGCACCCUGGGCGACGACGGCAACGAGACUUUGGCUGACGUCUACGCGGGCAACGGCACCCUGGGCGACGACGGCAGCAAUGGAACUUUGGCAGAUGCCGACGCAGGCAACGGCACCCUGAGCGACGACGGCAACGUGACCCUAGCUGACGUCUACACGGGAAACGGAACUUUGGCUGACGGCUACACGGGCAACGGCACCCUGGGCGACGACGGCAACGUGACUUUUGCUGACGGCUACACGGGCAACGGCAACCUGGCCGACGUCGACACGGGCAACGGAACUUUGGCAGAUGGCAACGGCACCCUGGGCGACGACGGCAACGUGACUUUUGCUGACGUCUACACUGGCAACGGCACCCUGGCCGACGUCGAGACGGGCAACGGAACUUUGGCAGAUGGCAACGGCACCCUGGGCGACGACUGCAACGUGACUUUGCCUGGCGGCUACACAGGCAACGGCACCCUGGGCGACGACGGCAAUGUGACUUUUGCUGACGUCUACACUGGCAACGGCACCCUGGGCGACGACGGCAGCAAUGGAACUUUGGCUGACGGCUACACGGGCAACGGCAACCUGGCCGACGUCGACACGGGCAACGGAACUUUGGCAGAUGGCAAUGACACCCUGGGCGACGUCUACACCCGCAACGGCACCCUGGCCGACGAUGGCACCCUGGCCGACAAUGGCAGCAAUGGUACUUUGGCAGAUGGCUACUCAGGCAACGGCACCCUGGGCGACGACCACAAUGUAACUUUGGCCGACAUCUACACUGGCAAUGGCACCCUGGGCGACGACGGCAACUUAACUCUGACCGACGGCUACACGGGCACCUCGGACCUCGUCGCCUAGAAACAGUUUUUGGGACAGUGCAUUAGUUAAGAUGUUUUUGCUUGUACCUACUUAUCUCUGCUUUCAAUAAAACUAUUGCCUUAACUUGUUGUGUCAAUUCUCUGGGGUUGUGGUCAAAAAUGGAUAUUUAACCAUGAUCCAUAGACACCUGUGAGGCAAGCACUGACUCUAGGGACCUGAAAUUGUAUAAAAGUUGUGUCCCAGGAUGUCUAGACCUAUAGCAGCUCAUCUAAGGGCCUGCCUGAGCCAGCUCUAAAUAGAAGUUAUCAAAGCAGUGUUCACGGUAGUCUUCAAUGAGGGCACUUUGUGGCGCCCACACCAGGUUGAAAGUGGGAGCUGGUUUCAGAGAAUAUGCACUUAAACGCAAAAGCUUCCCAUGCUGCGUUCAGACCUUUAUGGAGUGUUUUGGUCUAGUAGGCUAGUAUGGUACUGAAAGCCCCUUAACAAAAUCGCUUGCCUUGUAGCUAAAGUUGUG